UGCCUCAGUGUGUUGCGUUGUGCUCUCCUUUCGUCGCGUUAAUUCCGGCCGGCGCGGAGGAGGAGCCCUGCGCGCGCGCGAGCGCCCGCCCGCCCUCCGUCUCGGCAGCGGCAAGCGACAAGCAGCGAGCGGCGGCCGGCGGCCGGCGGCGGGUACUCGGCUUAGUCGGCCGCCCCCUCAGCAGCGCCGCCAGGUACUCGCGACUGCGGCGCCCGUCGUUGUAGUAGUCGGCUUCUUCUUCGUCCGACCCGCUGCUUCGGUACGGCUGGGGCAGGAGGUUGCGGGGGCUGAGGAGCGGGAAGAGGUUGCUGCCGCCGCGGAGCGGCUCGCUGUAGCUGGCGCACGAGGCCCCGUUGCCGGCCGCGGUGGUGGACGGGUGCCGGCGCAGGGGGCUGCGGUACCUGUGCCUGCAGCGGCUCGGGCGGCGCCGGAGGGAACGGCUGACGCCGCGGGUCAGCGCGGGGCUCCCGCGCGUGCGGUUGUACCUGCUGUGGCCACCGCCGCCCAGCCCCCCGGUGCGGCGCGCCGGCGGCGAGAGGCCGGGGGCGUCGCCCAAGGCGGCGGAGCCGGACGCGCCGUACUUCGUCGCGGAGGAGCAGCACCGGUUGGCGGAGGGGCAGAGGCGGUUAGCGGCGCCGCUCCUAGUCACCAGGGACCUCUAGUCGCGGCCACCGGAGCAGUCGCGCGAGGAGCCACACUUUCUACAGCUGCGCUUCACCUAGCCGACCCGGCCACACUUACAGGGGCUGCUCCAGCCGGUCGUCCGAGAGUGGUUACGUGAGCGGCUCUUCUCUACGUAUGGUCAGAAGGACCUGCUCCUCUAGCACGUGGUCAUGAUGUUGCCGAUGACGUUGUUGUAUGACACCGGCGAGAAGGUGAUGGAGCCCGACGGCGUCCUCCUGUCCGACCGUUGGUGGGCCUUGAAGCUCAGCGUCAAGCUGCGCAUGUUCGCCCGGUUGGUCUACAAACGACUACAGCAGAUGGUCGUGAUGGUCCUUCCCCUACACUAGACCACGGUACUGAUGGUGGAGUACAAGGACGGGUCCACGGAGUUCCUCGUACUGUAGUUGUACUUCCAGCCCACCAAGGACGUGUGCGGGAAGGGAAGGAGCCUCUAAAUGGCGUGAGACGGUAGUGCGAGCCUCGACGAAGCGAGGCACGAGACGCGACUAAAUCAGCCUAAAGUAUGUAUGCUGAUACGUUCCGUAAAGCACUCGCGUACAUGGUCUUAUGAGCCUGAGCUCCCAUGGGGACUUCCACACCUCCUGGUCCCUUUCAAUUGCGCCCAACGUCGCAAAGGAUAACCCUAUCUGAGACUAGCAAAGUUUUCCCGCAACCUGUAACUGCGUCGUUUUUCUGUACAGUUACUUGACUUUGUCGCUAAACGCCCUGCCUUCCAUUACGAACCACAACUAGCUGAACUGUACUAGUUUCCUUAAGGUGUUUUCUAAAACCGGAAACUUUUCAAAGAACUCCUUUUGGGACUUACCUAACUAUUUCACCAAGAUGAAGUUUAACGACACGGUUGAUCUUGACUGCAGGGACUCAUAGUCUUCGAAUGUUCGGUUCACGUACUUUAACAACCCGCGUAUUUACCUGCUAAACCUUGUAACAGACGACAAGGGUAAGUAGUAGACCUAGCUAGAGAACUAAAGGUACGGAACACACGAGAAAUACGUCAGUGACUACACCGAGAACAUUGUAGUGACUCCCUACCGUACUUAGAACAUUCGAUGCUUAUACAACGUACGGUCCCUAGUUUUUUUCCUCAAGACUAUAACUCACUCAAACGGCCACGUCGUGUUAGCGAACCACGACCACGGUAAGAACAUUUAGGAACCUUAUAAUGUCUUCAACGUCUGAGUUAUUUUGUACGAAACUGUUACUGUAGACUACUCUCCCUCUUCGCCGUGUCCGUAUUGAUGCGCGUACAUUGUUGAGUAUGACGGGUUCUAACCCGACUUUGAAAACAUACACUCGAUUUGCUAUGUCAACGACUUCGAGACUACUCUUGUUCUGUUCAAGGAGGACUGGAAGGAUCAGCUUGCCGGUAGGUCGUUAUAGACGUCAGUUUUUUAGCAAACGAGUAUAACCCAAAGUUAAGUUGUAACUGACUCGGUCAACUUAGGAGACCCUCUUCCCCGCCACUAGUUUAGUUCCUCUACCUUGAGUUCAACGUAGGACUGAAUUUCCCAGGAAACUCUCGGGAGACGCUCCUGCUCUCGUGAUGCCAAUAGCAAGAGUCGCCUUCGCUGUCCUCACAAGAACUACUUUUAAAACCUCUCAAAUUGAACACCGACCGUCGUCUCGUACCCUACAAGAAUGCGGGUUGACUACCUCUUACCUACUGUUGUUACGGACUCGUAGACUUGUACCUAACCCAGCUGUCACAUUUCGUACAAAAACUCAUGAAGUGUCUUUCUUGGGGUUCUAGAGUAAAACUUGUAGCACUUUGUAGUAAACACACCUUGAUGUUCAUACGCCUACAACUCAAACCCUCCGAGGUUCGUUCUCUAUACGACGUCGUGGACACCUGGCCAGGUUAGAGUUUACGUCGACACCUACAACAAGUUCCCUCGGCCAGUCAACUUCAAGCGAGACAACCUCAGUGUUUCCCACGCCGGUAACUAGCAUAAGAUCCCCUCUAACAAGUGUCGUUUUCGUACCAAUGAGGCUAACUGAUACAUGAUACAUAUCCGGUGAAGGAUCCUUUCCUGCUCCUGUAGAUACACAAGAAGCUGGGACUUAUGGGAAGACUUGGUUUUCACUUUGGCCUACCACGCAGCCAUAGGCAGCUGUCCUCCGUCUUGCCCGCCGGUAGGUUGCCGGCCUCGUUGAGCUCCUUGAGCGUCCGCUCCUAUGUCUUCGGAGUCCAGCGCGGCGGCGGAGGCCUCUCCAGUAGCAGGAGCAGGCUGGUGUCGUGGCGUUUGUUGUUGUCGGUGGUGCUGACCGCGCUUCCCAGCAGCCACGACCUGGAGUUGCCACUGUUGAUGAAGAGCACGCGGCAGCCCUCCUUCGCGAGGUUGCGGGCAAUGGACGAGUUGAGCAGCCUCCUGCAGCAGAGGAAGGAGUUCCUCUACCGGCUCAGCUGCUGCGGGGCACGGCCACCGGAGGGGGGGCCGCGGCGGCGACUAAUGUACAAGAACCUAUCCGUCAUUCUGAUUCAAACGGAGACGAUUAGUCGUUAGUGGGCCGGCGGGCGGGGCGGGGCGGACUCUUCUUCUCAACUGUCGUCGGGAUUUAUUGUAACCACAAGGGACAUGCGCGCGGCCUCAUCGGCGGCACCGACCAGGCCGCGCCGCACCACAUGUUAGGACAUGUUUCAUACUGACUCGAGGACCAAAAUGACAAUGACGCUCUCCUCUGACUGCGAGACACUGACUCACUAGGGCUCUCAAACACAAUCCGCCUUAACUACCUAUAAACAAUAAUACACUACACUCCUGAUUAGGGUCGUAACUGCCAGAUGGCGACCAAAGACCUUCGAGACGUGAAUACGAGAAUCUGAAAAGCA
This 3514-nucleotide ribosomal RNA is filed under the name Triticum aestivum (bread wheat). RNAcentral describes it as "partial small subunit ribosomal RNA". Lineage: Eukaryota; Viridiplantae; Streptophyta; Magnoliopsida; Poales; Poaceae. The record is from RNAcentral.